This 362-nucleotide RNase P RNA is filed under the name Candidatus Wallbacteria bacterium GWC2_49_35. Its description in RNAcentral is "RNase P RNA component class A". It matches the Rfam family "Bacterial RNase P class A". Rfam says of the family: Ribonuclease P (RNase P) is a ubiquitous endoribonuclease, found in archaea, bacteria and eukarya as well as chloroplasts and mitochondria. RNAcentral also lists the same sequence under 1 other name. The record is from RNAcentral. Lineage: Bacteria; Candidatus Walliibacteriota.
AAAGCGCGCCGAUCUGCCGCGAAAACAUUGUUUUUGAGGAAAGUCCGGACAUCUAAAGGCAGCAUGCUGGCUAACGGCCAGUGGGCGGAAGCGCAAGCGACCGCUUAAGGAAAGUGCCACAGAAAUUACACCGCCGCUCACGCGGUAAGGUUGAAAUGGCGAGGUAAGAGCUCACCCGGCCGGCGGCGACGCCGGUUGAUGGUAAACCCCAUGCGAUGCAAGGCCUAACAGGCGCCCACAAACCGCCUUUUUUCCGCGCUCGCGCGCGAAGGCGCCGGGUUGGCCGCUAUGAUUUUUAUGGCGACAUAAAAGCGAGAUAGAUGGCAGAUAAACAAAAUCCGGCUUAUGAGCGCGCUUUUGUU